UACAGAGGGUGCAAGCGUUGUUCGGAUUUACUGGGCGUACAGGGAGCGUAGGCGGUUGGAUAAGCCCUCCGUGAAAUCUCCAGGCUUAACCUGGAAAGUGCAGAGGGGACUGUUCAGCUAGAGGAUGGGAGAGGAGCGCGGAAUUCCCGGUGUAGCGGUGAAAUGCGUAGAGAUCGGGAGGAAGGCCGGUGGCGAAGGCGGCGCUCUGGAACAUUUCUGACGCUGAGGCUCGAAAGCGUGGGGAGCAAACAGG
This 253-nucleotide ribosomal RNA is filed under the name uncultured bacterium. RNAcentral's name for it is "partial 16S ribosomal RNA". It matches the Rfam family "Bacterial small subunit ribosomal RNA", at positions 524 to 776 of the family's 1533-position model. The record is from RNAcentral.